CUUUUUCCCCGGAGCUUGCUCCACCGGAAAAAGAGGAGUGGCGAACGGGUGAGUAACACGUGGGUAACCUGCCCAUCAGAAGGGGAUAACACUUGGAAACAGGUGCUAAUACCGUAUAACAAUCAAAACCGCAUGGUUUUGAUUUGAAAGGCGCUUUCGGGUGUCGCUGAUGGAUGGACCCGCGGUGCAUUAGCUAGUUGGUGAGGUAACGGCUCACCAAGGCCACGAUGCAUAGCCGACCUGAGAGGGUGAUCGGCCACAUUGGGACUGAGACACGGCCCAAACUCCUACGGGAGGCAGCAGUAGGGAAUCUUCGGCAAUGGACGAAAGUCUGACCGAGCAACGCCGCGUGAGUGAAGAAGGUUUUCGGAUCGUAAAACUCUGUUGUUAGAGAAGAACAAGGAUGAGAGUAACUGUUCAUCCCUUGACGGUAUCUAACCAGAAAGCCACGGCUAACUACGUGCCAGCAGCCGCGGUAAUACGUAGGUGGCAAGCGUUGUCCGGAUUUAUUGGGCGUAAAGCGAGCGCAGGCGGUUUCUUAAGUCUGAUGUGAAAGCCCCCGGCUCAACCGGGGAGGGUCAUUGGAAACUGGGAGACUUGAGUGCAGAAGAGGAGAGUGGAAUUCCAUGUGUAGCGGUGAAAUGCGUAGAUAUAUGGAGGAACACCAGUGGCGAAGGCGGCUCUCUGGUCUGUAACUGA
This 699-nucleotide ribosomal RNA is filed under the name uncultured bacterium. RNAcentral's name for it is "bacterial SSU rRNA". It matches the Rfam family "Bacterial small subunit ribosomal RNA", at positions 71 to 743 of the family's 1533-position model. The record is from RNAcentral.